AUGGAACAUAUGGGAGCACUUCAACCAGGAUUACCAUCUCCAACUAUGCUCCCCCAGUCAUGGACAUUAAUAGUAAUAGACUUAAAGGCGUGUUUGUUAAACACUUGCCAGAAUUUGGAAAACUUUGCUAUUGGAAUAAAUUAAGU
Molecule: long non-coding RNA, 146 nt
Organism: Oxyura jamaicensis (ruddy duck)
Lineage: Eukaryota; Metazoa; Chordata; Aves; Anseriformes; Anatidae
Exons: 3
Source: RefSeq, a predicted model, not a curated record